RNAcentral lists this unclassified non-coding RNA (238 nucleotides) under Hevea brasiliensis (rubber tree). Lineage: Eukaryota; Viridiplantae; Streptophyta; Magnoliopsida; Malpighiales; Euphorbiaceae. The record is from RNAcentral.
CUCUGCAAGCUCACAUAAUAGUCAACUGCAGCCAAUAGAGAAGCCUUGCCUUCAACUUCAACCAGUUCCUCCGCAGAGGCCAGGCUCUUCUUGUCUUCCAUCAUGGGGAAUAAUUGCUUCAAGGUAGAGAUCCUUGCUUCUCCACCAUAAACCUUGUGUGAAGCAAGAUAGAGACGAGUACUAUUGCUGAAACCUAAAGCUGCUAGCAAUAAUCCAAUCUCUUCAGGUGUCAAUGGGC